CAGUAACAUUUUUGAAAAGUAAAGGAAACAUGAUCUUAAGCAGCUGAAAAGGUAGAUGACUGAGACAAAAGUGGUGAAGUCAAAUUUUAGAUUUAUUUAAGAAGCCAGAAUUAAUGAAAGAAUCACUUCGCGAAGAGCAGGAGAGGGUUAACCGAGUACCUUUAUCCAUAGAACCACUGACUUCUUCAAGAUAGUAGAGACCAUUCCGUUCUUUAGCAAAUCCAAUCAUCCUCCCCAUAACCU
RNAcentral lists this long non-coding RNA (243 nucleotides) under Elaeis guineensis (African oil palm). Its description in RNAcentral is "long non-coding RNA (EGUI_LNC034072)". Lineage: Eukaryota; Viridiplantae; Streptophyta; Magnoliopsida; Arecales; Arecaceae. The record is from RNAcentral.